Long non-coding RNA from Mytilus californianus (California mussel), 274 nucleotides. RefSeq lists it as uncharacterized. The transcript is spliced from 2 exons. The record is from RefSeq and is a predicted model, not a curated record. Lineage: Eukaryota; Metazoa; Mollusca; Bivalvia; Mytilida; Mytilidae.
UCAAUUUAGAUGUAAUUGUAAUAGUAAACAUUGUGCUGUUGACGCUCUCCAUAGUAAUGAUUGUUCUCUUUUCAGUAAGGGUAUGCUGCAAGAAGACUAUCGACCCUAAAUAGUUUGAAGCUGAUAGCAGUAACAUAAAACUUUAUUUAUGUAUACACAUCAUUUUAGAUGAUUACUAUCCUCGUUGAAAAAUCUUUUCUAUCGUUUUUUUUACAACGAUCGUUAAUUAUCAUAUUAUUCUAUGUUUUCUUUAUAAAAUAAAUUUUACAUCGUA